RNAcentral lists this ribosomal RNA (429 nucleotides) under Bacteroidota bacterium. Its description in RNAcentral is "Bacteroidetes bacterium partial 16S ribosomal RNA". It matches the Rfam family "Bacterial small subunit ribosomal RNA", at positions 355 to 776 of the family's 1533-position model. The record is from RNAcentral. Lineage: Bacteria; Pseudomonadati; Bacteroidota.
UAGGGAAUCUUCCGCAAUGGGCGAAAGCCUGACGGAGCAACGCCGCGUGAGUGAUGAAGGUCUUCGGAUCGUAAAACUCUGUUAUUAGGGAAGAACAAAUGUGUAAGUAACUAUGCACAUCUUGACGGUACCUAAUCAGAAAGCCACGGCUAACUACGUGCCAGCAGCCGCGGUAAUACGUAGGUGGCAAGCGUUAUCCGGAAUUAUUGGGCGUAAAGAGCUUGUAGGCGGUUCGUCGCGUCUGGUGUGAAAGCCCAUCGCUUAACGGUGGGUUUGCGCCGGGUACGGGCGGGCUAGAGUGCAGUAGGGGAGACUGGAAUUCCCGGUGUAACGGUGGAAUGUGUAGAUAUCGGGAAGAACACCAAUGGCGAAAGCGGCUCUCUGGUCUGUAACUGACGCUGAGGCUCGAAAGCGUGGGUAGCAAACAGG